CCCGCACAAGCGGUGGAGCAUGUGGUUUAAUUCGAAGCAACGCGAAGAACCUUACCAGGUCUUGACAUCCCGAUGCUAUUUCUAGAGAUAGAAAGUUACUUCGGUACAUCGGUGACAGGUGGCGCAUGGUUGUCGUCAGCUCGUGUCGUGAGAUGUUGGGUUAAGUCCCGCAACGAGCGCAACCCUUAUUGCUAGUUACCAUCAUUAAGUUGGGGACUCUAGCGAGACUGCCAGUGAUAAACUGGAGGAAGUGGGGAUGACGUCAAAUCAUCAUGCCCCUUAUGACCUGGGCUACAAACGUGAUACAAUGGCUGAAACAAAGGGCAGCGAAGCAGUGAUGUGAAGCGAAACCCAAAAAAGCAGUCUCAGUUCGGAUUGAAGUCUGCAACUCGACUUCAUGAAGUCGGAAUCGCUAGUAAUCGCGAAUCAGAACGUCGCGGUGAAUACGUUCUCGGGGUUU
RNAcentral lists this ribosomal RNA (460 nucleotides) under uncultured Acholeplasma sp. Its description in RNAcentral is "bacterial SSU rRNA". It matches the Rfam family "Bacterial small subunit ribosomal RNA", at positions 920 to 1382 of the family's 1533-position model. The record is from RNAcentral. Lineage: Bacteria; Bacillati; Mycoplasmatota; Mollicutes; Acholeplasmatales; Acholeplasmataceae.